AACAGCAUCUAUUCCUUCUUUUUUGGCCCAUGCCCACUCGAGUAUUGAGCAUGUUCACAUUCCCAUCCCCACUCAAAACGCAUUGGUCAGGACCACCGUAAUACAAGAAGUGACCCCUAGGACCACCCAAAUCAUGGCUUGCAUUGGCAUUGUAACGCCCAGGAUCAUCCACAACCCCAACGAAGGACUCGUCAAGUGGGGAAAUGACCACCUCCCCACCUGGCUUGAGUCGCGCCCAAAUCGGCCAUCACCAUGAAUAGCUCCUUUGGCCAGUCCCCGACGCGCGCUGCUCUCGCCGAAGAACGGGCAACAGUUCCUCGAUUUGUUGUCCUGCAGGUCAGGAGACGGAAAAGGCAGGUCGAAAACACGCGAACUGGGGGCAAAGACUAGCUAAUAGUACCGUGGGGGAAAUGCUUAUACUGGCACUUUAUGUAGCUCGAGCCUUAGUCAUGUUAUAGUCGAUGUUUACUUGUGACAGUACAUGAAGGUCUUGAUGUCGGAGCACCGACGAGGCUCUUUUUUU
This is a long non-coding RNA of Syzygium oleosum, 523 nucleotides long. RefSeq lists it as uncharacterized. Lineage: Eukaryota; Viridiplantae; Streptophyta; Magnoliopsida; Myrtales; Myrtaceae. The transcript has 2 exons. The record is from RefSeq and is a predicted model, not a curated record.